This 84-nucleotide small nuclear RNA is filed under the name Pteropus vampyrus (large flying fox). Its description in RNAcentral is "U2 spliceosomal RNA (ENSPVAG00000028003.1)". It matches the Rfam family "U2 spliceosomal RNA". From Rfam's summary of the family: U2 is a small nuclear RNA (snRNA) component of the spliceosome (involved in pre-mRNA splicing). The record is from Rfam by way of RNAcentral. Lineage: Eukaryota; Metazoa; Chordata; Mammalia; Chiroptera; Pteropodidae.
AUCGCUUCUCGGCUUUUGGCUAAGAUCAAGUGUAGUAUCUGUUCGUGUCAGAUAACACAGUCUACACGCCAUGCUGCACCUCCC